RNAcentral lists this ribosomal RNA (783 nucleotides) under Plagiostoma euphorbiaceum. RNAcentral's name for it is "eukaryotic LSU rRNA". It matches the Rfam family "Eukaryotic large subunit ribosomal RNA", at positions 132 to 939 of the family's 3401-position model. The record is from RNAcentral. Lineage: Eukaryota; Fungi; Ascomycota; Sordariomycetes; Diaporthales; Gnomoniaceae.
UUCGGCCCGAGUUGUAAUUUGCAGAGGAUGUUUAUGGUGCGGUACCUUCCGAGUUCCCUGGAACGGGACGCCACAGAGGGUGAGAGCCCCGUCUGGUUGGAUACCAAACCUGUGUUAAACUCCUUCAACGAGUCGAGUAGUUUGGGAAUGCUGCUCUAAAUGGGAGGUAAAUCUCUUCUAAAGCUAAAUACUGGCCAGAGACCGAUAGCGCACAAGUAGAGUGAUCGAAAGAUGAAAAGCACCUUGAAAAGGGGGUUAAACAGUACGUGAAAUUGUUGAAAGGGAAGCGUUUAUGACCAGACUUGUGUCGUGUGGCUCAUCCGAGGUUCUCCCCGGUGCACUCCACACGGCUCAGGCCAACAUCGGUUCUUGUUGGAGGAUAAGAAUAGUAGGAACGUAGCUCUCCUUCGGGGGAGUGUUAUAGCCUAUUGUACGAUACUCUGACGGGGACCGAGGACCGCGCUUCGGCUAGGAUGUUGGCGUAAUGGUCAUUAGCGACCCGUCUUGAAACACGGACCAAGGAGUCGUCCAUUAGAGCGAGCGUUUGGGUGUAAAACCCGCACGCGUAAUGAAAGUGAAAUUAGGUGAGAGCUUCGGCGCAUCAUCGACCGAUCCUGAAGUUUACGGAUGGAUUUGAGUAAGAGUUUUAACGGACGGACCCGAAAGACAGUGAACUAUGCUUGAAUAGGGUGAAGCCAGAGGAAACUCUGGUGGAGGCUCGCAGCGGUUCUGACGUGCAAAUCGAUCGUCAAAUUUGAGCAUGGGGGCGAAAGACUAAUCGAA